GGAAUAUUGCACAAUGGGGGCAACCCUGAUGCAGCCAUGCCGCGUGUGUGAAGAAGGCCUUCGGGUUGUAAAGCACUUUCAGCGAGGAGGAAAGGGUGACGGUGAAUAGCCGUUAUCUGUGACGUUCCUCGCAGAAGAAGCACCGGCUAACUCCGUGCCCGCAGCCGCGGUAAUACGGAGGGUGCAAGCGUUAAUCGGAAUGACUGGGCGUAAAGCGCACGCAGGCGGUUUGUUAAGCCAGAUGUGAAAGCCCCGGGCUCAACCUGGGAACUGCAUUUGGAACUGGCAAACUAGAGUCUUGGAGAGGGGGGUAGAAUUUCCGGUGUAGCGGUGAAAUGCGUAGAGAUCGGAAGGAAUACCAGUGGCGAAGGCGGCCCCCUGGCCAAAGACUGACGCUCAGGUGCGAAAGCGUGGGGAGCAAA
RNAcentral lists this ribosomal RNA (422 nucleotides) under uncultured bacterium. Its description in RNAcentral is "bacterial SSU rRNA". It matches the Rfam family "Bacterial small subunit ribosomal RNA", at positions 358 to 772 of the family's 1533-position model. The record is from RNAcentral.